This 74-nucleotide transfer RNA is filed under the name Candidatus Nealsonbacteria bacterium CG_4_10_14_0_2_um_filter_38_17. RNAcentral's name for it is "tRNA-Gln". It matches the Rfam family "tRNA". Rfam says of the family: Transfer RNA (tRNA) molecules are approximately 80 nucleotides in length. RNAcentral also lists the same sequence under 1 other name. The record is from RNAcentral. Lineage: Bacteria; Candidatus Nealsoniibacteriota.
CCCGAGGGAGGCUAAUGGUAGGACACGGCCCUUUGGAGGCCAUUAUCUAGGUUCGAAUCCUAGCCCCGCAGCUA